UACGGGGGGAGCAAGCGUUGUUCGGAUUUACUGGGCGUAAAGGGCGCGUAGGCGGUCAGCACAAGUCAGUUGUGAAAUCUCCGGGCUUAACUCGGAACGGUCAAGUGAUACUGUCGGGCUAGAGUACAGAAGGGGCAACUGGAAUUCUCGGUGUAGCGGUGAAAUGCGUAGAUAUCGAGAGGAACACCUGCGGCGAAGGCGGGUUGCUGGGCUGAUACUGACGCUGAGGCGCGAAAGCUAGGGGAGCGAACGGG
Molecule: ribosomal RNA, 254 nt
Filed under: uncultured bacterium
Lineage: Bacteria
Description: partial 16S ribosomal RNA
Rfam family: Bacterial small subunit ribosomal RNA
Source: RNAcentral